Entelurus aequoreus (snake pipefish) is the source of this 2010-nucleotide long non-coding RNA. RefSeq lists it as uncharacterized. Lineage: Eukaryota; Metazoa; Chordata; Actinopteri; Syngnathiformes; Syngnathidae. The record is from RefSeq and is a predicted model, not a curated record. The transcript is spliced from 5 exons.
UAACGUAUCUCGUUUCAACUGACGAUGUGUUUGAUGAUUAUGUCAAUAAUAAAGUUUUUCUCAACUUUAGAAAAUUAUACAACAUUAUCAUAAAAAAAUGUUAUUACCAAUAUUAUUUACUGUUUUUUUAUGUGUAAUUUGUGUGUAAAUAAAAUAUAUAUUUUUAAAAUAAUACUAACAAUAUACGUUGUAAUAUGUAAUUUUUAAGACAAGAAGUCAUGGAAUUGUGAGAAAUAAUAUUAAAAAAUUAAGAAAAAAAAUCAUAGUAUUUAAUAAAUUAGAAAUUAUAACAUUCAACAAAUUGCUUCAAGAUUUAUAAUAAUAAUUUAUAAAUGCCAGAAUCUAACUGAGCUUUGGAUGCUGCUGUAUUGUACUAUAUUCCACAGUCUGCUCUUUUCUGCAGAAGCCCACAGUCUCCUGCUGGAUAAAAAUGGUCUGUUCUACACUUACCUUGUUGCCCCCUUCCUCCAUUAUUGGUUGUUGGUUCUCACUGAUGAUGGCUAAAAGAUAUGUCCACACAUAUGCAAAAACAUUUGAUGUUUUGUCUCUUUAUUUGCGCCACAGGACGAGGAGGAGGAGGAGGAGUGGUGUAACGAGGUUCGGUCGUGCAGGAUUCAGCAGGAGAAAAGGUGAACAAAACAAAAAAGAAAAAAGAAAAGGAGAAGACAAGUAGGAAGAAUGGGCUGUCAAUCAUGCCCAGGAAGUCAGUUGGUUGCCAUGGAAGCGGCCAGCCCUUCCUGCUGCUGCUGGCCCUCCUCCCCCUCUUCCUCUUCCUGUAGCGUGUGAGUAAGGCCGAUGGACGUCGCCGCAUCGGAGGCCUUCAGCUCAGCCAUUGGCUCCUGCGGCUGUUGCCCCGGACUACUGCCGCCGGAGGUGUCCCCUGGCUGUGUGGGCGGAGUCAAUGUGGCCGACUCUGGCUCCAUACACAGUGUCACCUCUCUAUCCUGAGGCAAACACACAGAUGGAUACCGUCAACCAGAGGCGGGUGCACGUGUUGGACCAGGCUGUGAAUGGUGCUGUUGGGGGUCGGUUGCAAGGAGUGGUUGGCGCUGUGCAGCCUGUGUUCUAGCGACUAGAAAGCAACAACAAUGACGAGACUGGGAUCAGCGGGAUCUGUUUGGAUUCAUCCAUCCAAUUAUGGAAGUGAGCGGCCGCCUGCCCGUCGUAACCCUCGGUGCCCAAGAGGUAGGAGCCGGUGGGGGGAGACGCCACGCCAGUCGAAUCAUUGUUGAUGGGAUCCCAAGCGUCCGAGGAAGAGAGGCAGUAGUGUCCUUGGGAGACAUAGGUGUGGGGCCACACUUCCGCAGAGGAGUGGUGCAAGAUCUGGUCUGGAAUAUUGGCGGGAAAAAAGGACGCGCAAACUGGCAGUUCCACACACGGCUGCAGGAUCAGUGCUUGCACUGCACAGACAAGACGAUGGACAGACGAGAAUCCUCUGUCCUACGUGUGUGUGUGUGUGUGUGUCAACAUUUUGGACGGUCAGAAAUAAAAAAAUAUUAGACACAUCGUCUAUUCAGCAACAUCAUUUUAUAAUUCUAUAGCUGCUAGAGAAUUUGAGGACUUACUCAAAUGAAUUAAAUGUAUGUGUUUUGGUGUCAUUUAAAAAAAAAAGAUAUUUCUUUAUUUAACAAGGAAUGUACAGUACAGGCCAAAAGUUUGGACACACCUUCUCAUUUCAAUGUGUUUUCUUUAUUUUCAUGACUAUUUACAUUGUAGAUUGUCACUGAAGGUAUCAAAACUAUGACACCUCUGAAGUGAAAACCAUUUCACUGUGAACCUGUUGGAGCUGAUCGCAUGAGAUGUAUGAAUAAAUUAUGUGAACGUGUUGUGAGACAUCAUCGGUUUAGUCCAAUCUGCACUGCACUGCACUCAAAUAAACUGCACUGCAGAAGACAACUAGAUCGCCGCAUCCAACAGAUGGGGCUGGUUUCUGUCUUUGCAACAUCCAGACCAUGUUAUAAUUAAUACAGAGUAGGGAUUCAUUUGUGAAAUGAAUGUGUAUACGAUGGA